GACGAACGCUGGCGGCGUGCUUAACACAUGCAAGUCGAGCGAUGAACCUUUCAUGAAUUUUUCGGAAUGAUUGGAAGAGGAUUAGCGGCGGACGGGUGAGUAACGCGUGAGCAACCUGCCUUAAACAACGGGAUAGCCUCGGGAAACCGGGAUUAAUACCGUAUGAGACCCCGCCUUCACAUGAAGAAGAGGUUAAAGAUUUAUCGGUUUAAGAUGGGCUCGCGUCUGAUUAGCUAGUUGGUGAGAUAAAAGCCCACCAAGGCAACGAUCAGUAACCGGCUUGAGAGAGUGAACGGUCACAUUGGAAAUGAGACACGGUCCAAACUCCUACGGGAGGCAGCAGUGGGGAAUAUUGCACAAUGGGGGAAACCCUGAUGCAGCGACGCCGCGUGAGGGACGACGGCCUUCGGGUUGUAAACCUCUUUUAGCAGGGAAGAAGCGAAAGUGACGGUACCUGCAGAAAAAGCACCGGCUAACUACGUGCCAGCCGCCGCAGUAA
This 499-nucleotide ribosomal RNA is filed under the name uncultured bacterium. Its description in RNAcentral is "partial 16S ribosomal RNA". It matches the Rfam family "Bacterial small subunit ribosomal RNA", at positions 28 to 523 of the family's 1533-position model. The record is from RNAcentral.